ACGCUCGACACCUACGGGGGGCAGCAGUCGGGAAUAUUGCGCAAUGGAGGAAACUCUGACGCAGUGACGCCGCGUAUAGGAAGAAGGUUUUCGGAUUGUAACUAUUGUCGUUAGGGAAGAAAAAGGACAGUACCUAAGGAGGAAGCUCCGGCUAACUACGUGCCAGCAGCAGUGGUAAUCUGAGCGGGCUGGCAAGGC
This 198-nucleotide ribosomal RNA is filed under the name uncultured bacterium. RNAcentral describes it as "partial 16S ribosomal RNA". It matches the Rfam family "Bacterial small subunit ribosomal RNA", at positions 328 to 539 of the family's 1533-position model. The record is from RNAcentral.